RNAcentral lists this ribosomal RNA (1307 nucleotides) under uncultured bacterium. Its description in RNAcentral is "bacterial SSU rRNA". It matches the Rfam family "Bacterial small subunit ribosomal RNA", at positions 94 to 1401 of the family's 1533-position model. The record is from RNAcentral.
AGCGGCGGAUGGGUGAGUAACGCGUGAGAAACCUGCCUUUUACAAAGGGAUAGCCUCUGGAAACGGGGAUUAAUACCUUAUGAUACUUUUUCUCCACAUGGAAAAAAAGUCAAAGCGUAAAGCGGUAAAAGAUGGUCUCGCGUCCCAUUAGCUAGUUGGUGAGAUAAAAGCUCACCAAGGCAAUGAUGGGUAGCCGGCCUGAGAGGGUGACCGGCCACACUGGAACUGAGACACGGUCCAGACUCCUACGGGAGGCAGCAGUGGGGAAUAUUGGACAAUGGAUGGAAAUCUGAUCCAGCCAUGCCGCGUGCAGGAAGACGGCCUUAUGGGUUGUAAACUGCUUUUAUACGGGAGCAAUAAGGGUUACGAGUAAUCCGAUGAGAGUACUGUAUGAAUAAGGAUCGGCUAACUCCGUGCCAGCAGCCGCGGUAAUACGGAGGAUCCGAGCGUUAUCCGGAAUUAUUGGGUUUAAAGGGUGCGUAGGCGGCCAUUUAAGUCAGCGGUGAAAUUUUGCAGCUUAACUGUAACAGUGCCGUUGAUACUGUUUGGCUAGGAUUUGGUUGUAGUGUGCGGAAUGUGUGGUGUAGCGGUGAAAUGCUUAGAUAUCACACAGAACACCGAUUGCGAAGGCAGCACACUAAGUCAUUAUUGACGCUGGGGCACGAAAGUGUGGGGAUCAAACAGGAUUAGAUACCCUGGUAGUCCACACUGUAAACGAUGAUAAACUCGCUGUCGGCGAUACACAGUCGGUGGCCAAGCGAAAGCAUUAAGUUAUCCACCUGGGGAGUACGACCGCAAGGUUGAAACUCAAAGGAAUUGACGGGGGCCCGCACAAGCGGAGGAACAUGUGGUUUAAUUCGAUGAUACGCGAGGAACCUUACCCGGGCUCGAACGGUGCAUGAAUAUACGAGAGAUUGUAUAGUCCUUCGGGACAUGUAUAGAGGUGCUGCAUGGUUGUCGUCAGCUCGUGCCGUGAGGUGUCGGCUUAAGUGCCAUAACGAGCGCAACCCUUGUCAUUAGUUGCCAUCAGGUCAAGCUGGGGACUUUAAUGAGACUGCCACCGUAAGGUGUGAGGAAGGGGGGGAUGACGUCAAAUCAGCACGGCCCUUAUGUCCGGGGCGACACACGUGUUACAAUGGGAGGUACAGAGGGCAGCUAUCCGGUGACGGAAUGCUAAUCUCCAAAACCUUUCUCAGUUCGGAUUGGAGUCUGCAACUCGACUCCAUGAAGGUGGAUUCGCUAGUAAUCGCGCAUCAGCCAUGGCGCGGUGAAUACGUUCCCGGGCCUUGCACACACCGCCCGUCAAG